GCCUUGAGCCAGCUCUGGAAGCUCUGCUGUGAGUGGUUAAGGCCUGAGAUUCACACCAAGGAGCAGAUGUUAGACUUGCUGUUGCUUGAGCUGUUCCUGGCCAUUCUGCCCGAGGAGCUCCUGGCCUGGAUGCAUGAGUAUCAUCCAAAGAAUGGAGAGGAGGCAGUGGUUUUGCUGGAGAUUAUGUUAUCAGAAUCAAUAAAAUAGAACUGAUUCAAGGGCAGGAACUUACUGUAGAUAUGGAAUCCCAAGAAAAGUUACCUGGAAAAUCAAUGAAAGGCUUCUGAAUGAGAAGAAACCCAAGAACAUGAAAGAUGGACAGAAAUAUAUCAGAGAGCCGAGUGCAGUGGCUCACACUUAGAAUCCCACCACUCCAGGUGGAGAUGGGCGGAUCACCUGAGGUCAGGAGUUUGAGACCAGACUAGCCAACAUGGUGAAACCCCGUCUCUACUAAAAAUACAAAAAUUAGCCAGGUGUGGUGGUGUAAGCCUGUAAUCCCAGCUACUUGGGAGGCUGAGAGGAGAAUCCCUUGAACCUGGGAGCCUCAGGUUGCACUGAGCCAAGAUCACGUCACUGCACUCCAGCCUGGGCGACAGAGCGAGACUCCGUCUUAUACAAACAAACAAACAAAAAACAAAGAAAUAUAUCAGAGAAACACAAUCAACUGAGAGAAAAUAUAUGUGUGAUGAAUGUGGGAAAACAUUCACUCAAAACUCAAGCCCCAUUAGACAUAAAAUAAUCUGUACUGGUAACACACCCUCUUCAUGUAAUGUAUGUAGCAAAACUUUUACUCAGAGCUCACAACUUACUGACCAUCAGAGAAUACAUAGCCAUAUAAAACCCUAUCAGUGUGAUGAGUGUGAAAAAGUCUUUUAUUACAGUUCAUAUCUUAUUCAGCAUUGAAGGACCCACACAGGAGAAACCUUUCCAAUGUAGUGAGUGUGGGAAAGUCUUUCAUCACAGCUCAGAUGUUAUUUGACACCAGAGAACUCACACGGAAAAGAAACCAUACCAGUGUAAUGAUUGUGGGAAAUCCUCUCUGAGUUCAUAUCUGAGACAACAUCAGAGUUCAUACUGAAGAGAAGCCAUAGCAGUGUAGUGAGUGAGGGAAAAGCUUUAGCUAGUGCUUGGGCCUCUUCUGUCACCAGAAAAUCCACAGUGGAAAGAAACUAUAUGAAUGUGACAAGCGUGGAAAGGCCUUCAGAUACAGUUCAGCUCUUGUUGGACACCAGCGAAUCCACGGUAGAGAGAAGCCCUAUGAGUGUGAUGUGUGUGGGAAAGCUUUCAGUAACAGCUCACAUCUUUUGAGACACCAAAGAACCCACACUGGAGAAAAGCCCUGCAAAUGUGAUGCAUAUGGAAAAGCUUUCAGGCAGAGCUCACACCUCAUUUUACAUGAGCAAAUCCACACUGGAAAGAAGCCCCGGUGAUGUCAAGCGUGAUGCAACAUUGUUCAUCUAUGCUCAUUCCUGUGGAACAUCAAAAAAGCACAACUAGUAAAAGAUGCCACCAAUACAGUGAUGCAGGGAACUCUGCAAUCACUAUUGCAAUUUCAGCAGUCAUUUAAAAAUACAGCCAGGCAUGGUGGCUCAUGCCUGUAAUCCCAGCAGUUUUGGAGGUGAAGGUGGGGGAUCACUUGAGACCAGGAGUUCAAGACCAGCCUGGGCAACAUAGAAAAAUUACAUAUAACAAAAAAUUACAUACAACAUACAAAAAAUUUAAAAAUUAGCUGGACAUAGUGGUGCAUGCCUGUAGUUCCAGCUACUCAGGAGUCUAAGGCAGGAGGAUUGCUUGAGCUCAGGAGUUCAAGGUCACAAUGAGCUAUAAUUACACCACCAUACUCCAGCAUGAACAAUAGAGCAAGACUCUGUCCCAGAAAAAAGGAAAGAAAAUACAUGUGAAGGCUAAAAUGGGCAAGCACCCGCAGGCUUGCUAAACAAGGCUUUCUGAUUCUCUGCCAUUAGGCACAUCACCUGAUAAACUGGGACUCUGAAGGAGCUUAUUCCAUACUCUCAAACUUUUCUCUAAAGCAAGUGGCUCAGGAAAUCUAAAAAUUCUAUUAGAUAUGUAUUGGAGGUUUUAGCAAUUACUACUGUUCUCUUUCCCCUUCCCUUUUUCUCCUCUUCUAUUUGUUUCUUUGAAGUUGGAGUAAUAAAC
Long non-coding RNA from Homo sapiens (human), 2157 nucleotides. Lineage: Eukaryota; Metazoa; Chordata; Mammalia; Primates; Hominidae. The record is from Ensembl.